This is a long non-coding RNA of Carassius auratus (goldfish), 2211 nucleotides long. The record is from Ensembl. NCBI's taxonomy places the organism in Eukaryota, Metazoa, Chordata, Actinopteri, Cypriniformes, Cyprinidae.
AUGGAUCCCCUCUAUCGUCCCGAAUUCCUCAUCCUCCUGCUGAAGCAGGAAGGACGUUCUCUCGAGGACCAUACCAGACAGUUUUCCUUAUUAGCUAAUGCCACCAGCUACCCGGACGGCGCGCUCUGCACCUUCUACAACACCAGCCUGAACUCCAAAUGCAGAGCGUUGUCGUCCGAAGAUGGUCCUCGAGAGGAUUUCGCCGCAUACGUGGAGUGGACUCUGGCGAGAAAUGGGUCACCUCUCACCGUCUGCCCCAUAGAGGACCUCGCCAGCCCCACUCCCGACCCAGAGACCAGCCAGCCACCAUCACGCCGCACGGAGCCAGAGCCCACCGCAGCCGCAGAGCCCGAGCCAUCCACUGUCAGGGAACAGGAUCUCGAGAGCACGACUGACCAGGUGUGUGAGCCGGCAACACCGUGCAUCGUGGGAGUCCUCGUGGAGAUCGAGGGCGUGGAGGAAAGCCCUGCCCACACUCCUGCGACUGAUGGUGAGCUGUAUACAGUCUCUGAAAGUCAUAUGGAGCAAGUUCUGGAUCUGAUGGACUGGUCUACGGAGGUAAUCCCUAAUAUUCCUGUUUCCCCGCUGGUUCCGUCCAGCCCUGAUUCCCCUGUAUACCCUCUCAGUCUCCCACUCCUACCUCCUCCAGUCAUUUCCUCUGCUCCAUUUCCGCUGGUUCCGCCCAGCCCUGAGUUUUCUGUUUCUCCGCUGGUUCCGCCCAGCCCUGAGUUUUCUGUUUCUCCGCUGGUUACGCCCAGCCCUGAAUCUUCUGUUUCUCCGCUGGUUACGCCCAGCCCUGAGUUUUCUGUUUCUCCGCUGGUUACGCCCAGCCCUGAGUUUUCUGUUUCUCCGCUGGUUCCGCCCAGCUCUGAAUCUUCUGUGUCUCCGCUGGUUCCGCCCAGCUCUGAAUCUUCUGUGUCUCCGCUGGUUCCGCCCAGCUCUGAAUCUUCUGUGUCUCCGCUGGUUCCGCCCAGCUCUGAAUCUUCUGUGUCUCCGCUGGUUCCGCCCAGCUCUGAAUCUUCUGUGUCUCCGCUGGUUCCGCCCAGCUCUGAAUCUUCUGUGUCUCCGCUGGUUCCGCCCAGCUCUGAAUCUUCUGUGUCUCCGCUGGUUCCACCCAGCUCUGAAUCUUCUGUGUCUCCGCUGGUUCCGCCCAGCUCUGAAUCUUCUGUGUCUCCGCUGGUUCCGCCCAGCCCUGAAUCUUCUGUGUCUCCUGUAUUCCCUCCCAGCCUCCCUCUCCCGCCUCCUCCCAAACCUGCUGGUCCCUCUACUCCUCUUUCGCUGGUUCCGUCCAGUCCUGAUCCUCCUGUCCUUCCUCCCAUCCUUCUCCUCUCUCCUCCUCCUAGACCAGCCAGUUCCUCGCCAUCCCUGCUGGUGCCAGUCAGUCCCGCAGCUCACCCUCAGUCCGCGCCAUCGGGGCGCGGUGGUUCGCCGCUGGACUGCCAGUCUCCAGCUCCGCCUUGGCGUGUUAAGGCCCUGUCUCCGCCUCCAGCCUCCGAGCCCUGGACUCCUCCUCGGUCCUUCAACCCAGCGGCUCCGCCUUGGCUCUUAGCUCCCUCGUCUCCACCGUGGCCUGUCAUCCCACCUGCUCCACCGGGCUCCCUCGUCCCUCCGGCUCCACCUUGGUCAGUCGUCGACCAUCCGCCGCCUCGGGACUCCACUCCUCUGGUUCCACCUCGUCACUCCAUCCCUCCGGCUCUGUCAGGCUCCUCCUUCCCUCCGGUUCCACCUCCAUCCUCGGUCGCUCCGGCUCCACAUCGGUCUGCCAGGACCCCGCCUCCGCCUUGGUCACCUGAGCCUUCUGCUCCACCUAGGCCCUCCGGAACCUCGACGUCCCCCUGGCUCUGCGGCUGUGCUGCUCCAUCUUGGGCUCCUCACCCACCGGUGCAGUCUCCGCCUGUCGGCCCCCUGGUGUCGUCGACCCCUCCUUCACCAUGGCUCCUCCCGCCGUCGACUCCACCUUGGAUCUCCGUCCUGGCUGGUCUCUGGUGGACCAUCUGGCUCCUCCUGCUCCUGUCUCCUCCCUGGCUCCUUCCUCCGUCUCCUCCCUGGCUCCUCCUUCUGUGGUCCCUGUCUGCUGGCCCCCUCCUGGAAGUCCGUCCUCCACCGGAACCUCCUCCCAAGUUCCCACCUACGCCCCCCCCUGUUGUUUCUACGGUGCGAGGACGCACCUACCGGGAGGGGGAGUACUGUCACACACCUGGACUCAUUUAA